AUGACAUUUGGUUGUGACACACUUCCUCUUUUGCAAAAGAUAAGGCACUGAUUUAAUUCUGAUUGCUGGUCUCUGUCUCAUUUAUAUUAACGUCUUAAUUUAAUUUAUCUAACAGUUUAGUGCAGCUAAAGACAGUAUGGGUGGACACAGUAAGGCACAGAACUGAGGCAGUAUUACAUGUGUCAUAGGAUCAUAUGCAUUGGAUGUAGGGCUACUACAUAUUCACUGACAAGAUGACGGUGUCAGAGGUCAUGAUUCUCAUCAAAAGAAGUCAAGGAAGUAAAUUAUUACCAAUUGACAAGAAGUACCAGGAAAUUCAGCACAUAUGUGCUUAGCGGUUAUUCAGCAUACUUCACAUUUCACAGACUUGGAACAUUUCCUGCUUGGUGACUUUUGACUUUUUUGGCUAUCUGGAGUGACGUGCCUUACCCAUCGGCCCAACCCAUUAUUAGCAUCAACCAAAACAAAACACAAUGCUAUGCAAAAGUCAAGGAACAUGUCUAUCUCUCUCUCUCCAAAACAAAAUACAGCAACAUCACAUUUUGUGGGAGGGACAGUGUUUGGGGUAUUUGCGGGCUUUUGGGGGUGACUGAAGAGACUGGCCAACACUUACAAAGGCUGUUAGAAAACACAAACAAAGCUUUGCACGGACCCUGACUCUUAACCCUGUUUUAAUUAGCGUAACCUUAGAAGUGCCUUUGUAACGCCUCUGUUUGGCAGUCCGGCCCCCCUCAGAGCCGGGGCAUGCAGGGGAGGGUAUAAAAGCACCGUGGCUCGUUCCAGUUAGGCUUUAGACCUACGGGAGCGCACAUACAAGACACACAAGUGUUGUUCCUCCCUAACCUGUUUGCCUUUUAAAGAAUCCUGCCAAAAUGUUGUCGCGGACACUUGUUGUUUCCUUGCUUUUUGCUGUAGCUGGUGUUGUUUUAUCUGCACCAGUGACAGAUGGACAAGACUCAGAUGACAGAGCAGCUCCAGUCAUAGCAUUCAUCAAUGGAGAAAACCGUGAUGAUCAGACCCCUACAAGUCCAGCCCAAGGAGUCUCAGAUGCAGAUGCAAGCGUGGAAGACACUACCACUAGUCCCGAUUCCCAAGAGUCAUCUGACACCGUGACAGAGAAGAAUGACUCUACUGAUGCACAAGAUGGAGAUGAUACGUCUGAAGAAAUGGCAGUGACAGACGACAAAGAGACUUCUGAGACUGACACAACCGAGGAGUCAGAUAACUCAGAAAUUGACAAAGACAACAGUGCCGUCGCCGAUAAGGAUGACAACAGUGAGGAGGCUGAUGCCAGCGAGCAGCAGGAUUCACCAGACAACGUCGACACCGAAAGCGACGAAGCUUCUCCAGAUAAGGCAGACAGCGAGGACAACACUGACGAAAACACGAUGGAGAGUGACGAGCAGACAGUCAAUGACAAGGUUGAUGGUGAAAGUGAAGCGGCCUCAGAGGACAAAGAGAGCGACGAGGCCAGUGACACUAACAAGGCCAAAGACACUGACGAGGCAAAAGACACGGACAAGGAAACACCGGACUCAUCAGACGAGGAAGCGAAAGUGGUCGGCAAUCCAGACUUUGACAGUGCCGAGGCCAAUUUGGGCAAAGGGGUGGUUGAUGUCAAAGAAAACAGCACAGAAAUAGACAGCACAUCCAAUUCAGAGGAAGAGGACGUAGUAGAGGAGAAAGAGGACAGUGCAAACUCAGAGGACGACGAAGAAGCCUCCCCCGACAAAGACUCAGCUGACAAAGAGUCGGACGAUGAGAUGGACACCAGCAGUGAGGAAGACUCUGAGGACAAAGACAAAAAGGCCAAAGACAAAGACGCCGAAGACUGGAGCCCAGAAGAGGAGUUAGAAGCUGAGGACAAAGACAAAAAGGCCAAAGACAAAGACGCCGAAGACAAGAGCUCAGAAGAGGAGUCAGACGCUGAGGACAAAGACAAAAAGGCCAAAGACAAAGACGCCGAAGACAAGAGCUCAGAAGAGGAGUCAGACGCUGAGGACAAAGACAAAAAGGCCAAAGACAAAGACGCCGAAGACAAGAGCUCAGAAGAGGAGUCAGACGCUGAGGACAAAGACAAAAAGGCCAAAGACAAAGACGCCGAAGACAAGAGCUCAGAAGAGGAUUCAGACGCUGAGGAGGCAGGAGAGUCCAAAGAGGCGGGAGAAAGCAAGCAGGAGGUGGAGGCUGGAGACGACAGUGACGAGGAUGACAAGAGCAAAGCUAAGAACGAGGAGGAGGAAGGGGACGCCGCCGGCAGCCAGGAGGCAGGGGCCUCCACCAAAGAAGAAGGAGAUUCCAUCAGCGAGGAAGACGACAUGAAGAGCAUGAUGACGCUGGAAGAGGGCAUGCCCGCGAGCAGCCAGGACCCCUUCGAGGAGGAGAUGCACGACAGCGCCAGCCAAGACUCAGAGUACGCCACCAAGGAGGAGAGUGAGGAGGAGAAGAGCGCUGAGUCAUCGGACGACAAAGAGAGCAAGAACGCCAGCAAGAAAGACAAAGACAGCAUGGAGGACAAUUCAGAAGAGGAUGCAGACAAAGUUGACAAGGAGGAUACAUCAGAGUCCAUCUCAAAAGAGGAAAGCAUGGAGAAGAGCACUGAGGCAGAUUCCACAAAUGAAGACGAUGAUACUGACACCACAUCUGAGGAGAUAAUGUCCUCUGAGGCAGAUGACAAGACUGCUGCAGUCACUGCUGAAGCACCGGAUCAACCAGACAAGCCAGAUGAUACAACACAAGGUGUCCCUGCUGUCCCUGCUAACACCAGUCAGAGUUCCUAGCAUUCUGGCUUGUACCAGUAGGUUAUGGUGGAGUCUAUACAACAGAAUCAUCAUGAAAAGACACAAAGGAAAUCUACUGAUGCAGUCACAAUAACAAAAAAAAGCAUUUUCGGGGCUGGACAAACUAUUUCUUAUUUCCUCUACCUUCUCACUUCCCCCACUUCCUCCCAAAACAAGUAAAGUUUUCUUUAUAGGGUGAGGAGCUAUGAAUUAAAUUAUUCAACGUUUUGUUCACAGAAUUCACAACUUGAAUAUUUUCAUUUUUUAACAAACACCUAUGCAAAGUGAUGACUAUUGGGACGGUGGUUUUAGGAGCCCCCAUGUCCUAUGUUUAUGCGGCUCAUAGCCUUAAAAUCCUUGACAUUGUGAAACACACAACUGCUACUUUUACUGAAAAGAACAUUGGUUUGAUAUCUGUGCAAUUCUGCUUGAUUUUCUCUGUCUAAAAAAAUACAGUGCUCAAAUGUCGUAGGGCUGUGAUGCAUCUGCAUGUUUUGGGACUUUCUCUGCAUUCUAGUUAUGCUUUUCCACAUUGAUACAACUCUUUCUUCAGAUAACUGCUGCUAAGUCAAAACAAAAUUUUCCUGACUCUCAGAUAAACGUUUUGCUUGUGUUAAAACAACAGACAAAUAUCUCGCUGUAACAAAACAAUUUCCACAAAAAAAGGAGUGUACAGACAUUUUAUGAGGCAAUUUCGUUAUGCACGUCUCUACCUUUUGAGGAUUUAUGACUAAUAUUGUAGUGUUUGUGUAAGAGCAAUGUCGAUGAAUUAUUGUAAUGACAAGAGAUGUAUAGAUAUAUCAGUAAUGUCAUUUUAAUAUGUACACAGGGAGCAAAUCGAAUAAAGCCUGAGUGGUCAGAAAAAAAAAUCAGGGGUCACAUUUCCUUUGGUAAGAGGGGAGUGGAGAAGUUCAGUGUGUGGCCCUGUGUGACCUGCCCAUGUUUGUGAGUGUCUUUGGGGGGCAAAGAACUGUGGCCCCUUUGUGGACUUCCUGUCGCCCUGAUGGAGAGUCAGUUCGUGGAGCCAAAAAACACAAGAUGUUUCACCUUCAAAUGGUUUCUUGUUUUCCUUAAAAGGUUCCCUGCCUGGCAUACAAAUAAGGGCUGACCAGCAGGUGAAUAAAAGCAGCGUAAGAAGUUCCCUCCGGCUCAGUUUGCUUUGAAAAGAGGGCAAUGUGUGUGGUAACAGAUGAA
Molecule: long non-coding RNA, 3974 nt
Organism: Clupea harengus (Atlantic herring)
Lineage: Eukaryota; Metazoa; Chordata; Actinopteri; Clupeiformes; Clupeidae
Source: Ensembl